UACAGCCAUAUCACAUUGAAACACAGGUUUUCAUAUGACCACCAAAGUUAAGCAACAUCAAGCCUUGUCUGUACGUAGAUGGGUGACCAUUUUGGAAUACCAGGUGCUGUAAG
Acanthosepion pharaonis is the source of this 113-nucleotide non-coding RNA. Lineage: Eukaryota; Metazoa; Mollusca; Cephalopoda; Sepiida; Sepiidae. The record is from the annotation of a GenBank genome assembly.